This 555-nucleotide ribosomal RNA is filed under the name Glandirana rugosa (Japanese wrinkled frog). RNAcentral describes it as "Rugosa rugosa (Japanese wrinkled frog) partial 16S ribosomal RNA". It matches the Rfam family "Bacterial large subunit ribosomal RNA", at positions 1818 to 2602 of the family's 2925-position model. The record is from RNAcentral. Lineage: Eukaryota; Metazoa; Chordata; Amphibia; Anura; Ranidae.
GCCUCUUGCCUAACAUAAGAGGUCCAGCCUGCCCAGUGACAUAGUUCAACGGCCGCGGUACCCUAACCGUGCGAAGGUAGCAUAAUCACUUGUUCCCUAAAUAGGGACUAGUAUCAACGGCAUCACGAGGGCUAAACUGUCUCCUCUCUCUAAUCAGUGAAACUGAUCUCCCCGUGAAGAAGCGGGGAUUAAGAUAUAAGACGAGAAGACCCCAUGGAGCUUUAAACUCAGUAUACACCUCUACUAACCCACACCAACUAACCCUAAAAGCCUGUAUACUAGUUUUAGGUUGGGGGGACCGCGGAGUACAAAUUAACCUCCACGACAAACGGGCUAACGCCCUUAUCCAUGAGACACAGCUCUAAGAAUCAACAAUCUGAUGUUUAUGACCCGAUAAGUCGAUCAGCGAACCAAGUUACCCUGGGGAUAACAGCGCAAUCUACUUUAAGAGCCCCUAUCGACAAGUAGGUUUACGACCUCGAUGUUGGAUCAGGGUAUCCUAGUGGUGCAGCCGCUACUAUUGGUUCGUUUGUUCAACGAUUAAAACCCUACGUG